UUGACUCGAUCAGGUAGGAUUACCCGCUGAACUUAAGCAUAUCAAUAAGCGGAGGAAAAGAAACCAACAGGAUUGCCCCAGUAACGGCGAGUGAAGCGGCAACAGCUCAGAUUUGGAAUCUGGCUUUCGGGCCCGAGUUGUAAUCUGGAGAGGAUGCUUCUGGCGCGGUGCCUUCCGAGUUCCCUGGAACGGGACGCCGGAGAGGGUGAGAGCCCCGUACGGUUGGACACCUAGCUCUGUGAAGCUCCUUCGACGAGUCGAGUAGUUUGGGAAUGCUGCUCAAAAUGGGAGGUAAAUUUCUUCUAAAGCUAAAUAUUGGCCAGAGACCGAUAGCGCACAAGUAGAGUGAUCGAAAGAUGAAAAGCACUUUGAAGAGAGAGUUAAAAAGUACGUGAAAUUGUUGAAAGGGAAG
RNAcentral lists this ribosomal RNA (412 nucleotides) under Grosmannia americana. RNAcentral describes it as "eukaryotic LSU rRNA". It matches the Rfam family "Eukaryotic large subunit ribosomal RNA", at positions 1 to 419 of the family's 3401-position model. Lineage: Eukaryota; Fungi; Ascomycota; Sordariomycetes; Ophiostomatales; Ophiostomataceae. The record is from RNAcentral.